UCCAAUUCCACUCUUUGGUUGUAUUCAUUGAACAAGAGUUUUAUUCUACACGUUGAUUCACAUGAAUAAAGCUGAAUUAACUUCUUAUAAGUUAUAACCCACCAAGAAAUUAAAGGAAAAAUCUAUACAUCUUAACACAAAAUACAAUACAAAAUACAAUAGACAAAUUAUAAACAACUAACCAGUAUAGUUUGAAAAAAUGGGUAUUCACAAACAUCAACCGAAGAUAAAAAAACCCAAUAUUUCAUCACAUAAUACUCAUAAAAAAAAGGGCAGUUCUUUACUGAUCAGUUCAAACUACAGAGGAUCAGAUGCAAAGAAUCAACUAAACAUAAAUUCAAAAAUUCACAUUAAACUUAUGUCACAACUGAAGCAUCGAAUCAUCACAUAAGAGGAACGAACUGAAACAGAGGAAGAAGAAAACCUUGAACCAAGAGCAAAUAAGAAAAACAGUUCAGGACCUCGAUGAGGUGGAAUCUCGUCGGACAACACUCGAACCUCGACGGAAUAAGAUGCAGACCAUGUUGUCCGAAACUCCAAGAAUCUCAACUUUGAUUUUCAAUUAAUCGAAGACAAGGAAAUUGAAAUGCGACUAAAACAAAAGCUUAUAUUGGUGUGUAUGUUGUGAGCAGUGAGGAGUGGCGACUAGAGUAGAUUGGAGGAGUUCUGGCUAGCGGCUUUCGAUGAACGAUGGUGCGUGUGGAGAAGGAGAUCAAGCAUUUCCUCUGUACUAUUAUCGGCGCUGCUUCGUCUCUUAGACUUAGGGAUCUCUAGGUUAGCUCCUCAUUGAAGAAGAAGAAUGGGGGUCGUUUAGGGUGGGGUUGUUUGUUUUGUUGAGCUGCUGAAGGGGUGCUGUGGUGUUGUUGUGGGAAUUGGAGAUGAAGGUCGCCUAUAGGUUGAUAAAGAAGAUAAAGGACAGGGAGGGGUCGUGUAUUUUUGUGUAUUGUGGCGCAGCAUUUCAUCUCUUCCCCCAGGCGUUUGCUCCCCUCUAACCUAGGUCUUUAGGUUUUAUUAUAUUGUUUCUGUAUUUUUUUGAAGCCCCAUUUAGAAACUUAGGUGUUAGGUGUCUCAAAUUGCUG
Molecule: long non-coding RNA, 1079 nt
Filed under: Nicotiana benthamiana
Lineage: Eukaryota; Viridiplantae; Streptophyta; Magnoliopsida; Solanales; Solanaceae
Description: long non-coding RNA (NBEN_LNC010930)
Source: RNAcentral